UACAGAGGUCUCAAGCGUUGUUCGGAUUCAUUGGGCGUAAAGGGUGCGUAGGCGGCCCGGCAAGUCGGGUGUGAAAUCUCGGAGCUUAACUCCGAAACUGCAUUCGAUACUGCCGUGCUUGAGGACUGGAGAGGAGACUGGAAUUUACGGUGUAGCGGUGAAAUGCGUAGAUAUCGUAAGGAAGACCAGUGGCGAAGGCGGGUCUCUGGACAGUUCCUGACGCUGAGGCACGAAGGUCAGGGGAG
This 245-nucleotide ribosomal RNA is filed under the name uncultured bacterium. Its description in RNAcentral is "partial 16S ribosomal RNA". It matches the Rfam family "Bacterial small subunit ribosomal RNA", at positions 524 to 768 of the family's 1533-position model. The record is from RNAcentral.